ACUACGGGAGGCAGCAGUGAGGAAUAUUGGUCAAUGGGCGCGAGCCUGAACCAGCCAAGUCGCGUGAGGGAUGACGGUCCUACGGAUUGUAAACCUCUUUUGCCGGGGAGCAAGCGUGCGUUCGUGAACGCGCGUCGAGCGUACCCGGCGACAAAGCAUCGGCUAACUCCGUGCCGGCAGCCGCGGUACUACGGAGGAUGCGAUCGUUAUCCGGUGUUAUUGGGUUUAAAGGGUACGUAGGCGGGAUGCCAAGGCAGCGGUAAAAAUGCGGUGGUCAACGCCGUCGAGCCGUUGAAACUGGCGUUCUUGAGUGGGCGAGAAGUAUGCGGAAUGCGUGGUGUAGCGGUGAAAUGCAUAGAUAUCACGCAGAACUCCGAUUGCGAAGGCAGCAUACCGGCGCCCUACUGACGCUGAGGCACGAAAGCGUGGGUAUCGAACAGGAUUAGAUACCCGGGUAGUC
This 460-nucleotide ribosomal RNA is filed under the name uncultured bacterium. RNAcentral's name for it is "partial 16S ribosomal RNA". It matches the Rfam family "Bacterial small subunit ribosomal RNA", at positions 338 to 795 of the family's 1533-position model. The record is from RNAcentral.